This is a long non-coding RNA of Vicia villosa (hairy vetch), 2268 nucleotides long. RefSeq lists it as uncharacterized. NCBI's taxonomy places the organism in Eukaryota, Viridiplantae, Streptophyta, Magnoliopsida, Fabales, Fabaceae. The record is from RefSeq and is a predicted model, not a curated record. The transcript has 4 exons.
UCUCUCCCACUCUCACCCUCAUCGAAAUCAGAAACUCUAAUACUCAACCUCAUUCUCAGUGAACAACACUUUGUUCUCCUCUUCAAAUUAAUGGUUAUGGUUUCAUCUGCAUCGGCGAUUAUCUAAACCUUCUUAGUCAUUUUGAAACCCUCGUCUAUGAGAACCAUCACCUACUCUACAAAAGCCCCAUGAAACCCCGUGUCGCCCGUCAAACUCCAUGAGAGCUGGUACAUACAAUGUUCAGGAUCUCAACUACUCAACAACAUAACUCCAAGACUCAUUCGAUUGAUACUUCGUCGAAUCGAAACUCGCACUACAUGCUUAUUUUGCUGUCGCUACUAUUUUUGCUUAUGGAUAAACUAAUAGUGGAAAGACAUACACAAUGAGAGGAAUCACAUGAAAGGUUGUCAAUGAUAUUUAUAACCAUAUAAUGAAGAACUGUGUUGAUGUGGCUGGAAAUGAGAGGGAUGCUCAUACACAUGCAGAUGGAACUUGGCUCUAAGAAGGCUUCCAUAAUAACUUUAGCCUUAUGACCGCUUCUUUGAUAAUUAGACUAAGGAAGUUACAAAUAAUUCUCAAGUAAGCAUGGUAACUACCAAGAAGUCAAAUACUAUCUUCUUUGCUAAUCAGGAUAAAUAAGUUACAAAUAAUGCUCAAGUAAACAUGGUAACUACCAAGAAGUCAGAGCCCCCUUGAUGUUUUUAAUUACCUUCAAUAUAUCUCCUUUUACUACUAAAACAAAGCAUAUAAUCUUUUUAAAAUGCUUAGUAUAGGUGGUAUCAUAAAAGUAGCUUGUUAAAUAUUUGAAAAAGAAUUGGCUAGGCUAGAAGCAGUGCUUCACACUCCUGAUCCAUCUAAAGAAAAGGAUUGAAAAAUUUAACAGGUAAAUUGGAGAAUAAUAAUGAUGGUUAGGAACAAGAAUAACACCAUAGUACUGACUACUGAUAUUGUUUGCCUAUUAUUCUAGAUGGAAAUGAUUUUGAAUAGCUGAAAUGUCAGAUAGAUCAAAUCAAGCACAAACUCAAGUCGGUGAGUUACGAAGAAAGCUUUAAGAAGAAUAAUAGAAUGAGGGUCUUUCUCGGAAAGUUGAUGAAAUCCCAGCUUGUUGUGCUAUAGUGAAUUAUGUGCUUGAAGACCAACCAACUAAAUAAAUGAAAGUUGUUUCCAUAUGUGCUCUUCCAAACCUUGUGAUGCACAGUCAAUGAAAUAAAAGAGAAAUUGCAGAGGUUGGUAGGGUUUAGGUUAUACUCAAUUUGAUUGGUUCAAGGGAUCCUGAUGCAUCUGUUCAAGCUACAAUGUUUGUUAAACUUAUUUGUUCAAAUCAUACUAUUCAAGAGUAUGCUUCUAGUGAAAUAGUCAGAGCGAUAACUGCUGUUGUUGAAAAGGAUUUACGGGCUACUGAAACUAUGAACGAUGAGUAUCUUAAAGCUUUAAAAUAUCUAUUUAGCAACUGCCUGCAACUAAACUUGAUGCCCUCAAUGUUGGGUAGCUUAUGAGUUCCUCUGACUUGGUGUUUUUUAGUGGUUCUACUGCUGUUUUUGUUAUGUGGAAGUCUUGCAUUUAUGUUGCAGUAUACUUGUUUUGAUUUGGUUGUAAUGUUUUCUUAUUAGAUAUAUGAUUAAUUUGUCAUUACACUUUUUUUUAUCAAUACAAGAUUUAUUAAUUUCUUAAUUUACUAUUUUGAUUUAUAUUUUCAUUUCAAGAAAAAUAAUGUUAUUACUUUUUUAAGUAUAUUAAAUCACUAAAACAAAUUUAAUGUAUAAAAAUGCCUAUAAUAGCGCUUUUUUUGAAAACGUUAUUAAAGAUAGGGAUCUAGGAUAGCAUUUUCGAGUAAAGUGCUUUUUAAUAAAUAAGCCUAACAUAGCGCUUUGUCAGAAAAGCGCUAUUAAAUAUUAGCAUUAAAUCAAACGUUUGAAAAGUGAUAUUAAAAAGAUAAUUUAAUAGCGCUUAAAAAGCGCUAUCUUAGGUAGCAAACCUAUAAUAACGAGAGCUUUAAUAGCGCUUAAAAGCGCUAUUAAAUCAUCAAAAAGCGCUAUUAAAUAUUGUUUUUGGCAUAGUGGUUGUUGUUGUUAUUAAGUUGUGAUGAUUAAGUUGUUACGUUGAUUUAAUAAGUGGCUUGUUGUUGUUACUAAGUGGUUUGUUGGUUGUUGUAUAGUUGCUGUUAUGAAGUUGUGAAAUUUGUAUGAUCCUGAUCUAAUAUAUCGUUUAUCAUACACCUGCUUAUAUUGGUUGAUAUCUCACCUCUUCUGUUGUGAUGUUGCCUCUACG